AACUAAAAUGUAAACGCAAAACAAUAUAUCUAAUAACUACGAUGGCGUUUUAGUGCCACGUUGAAAUUUGUUUUUUUUCUAAAAUUACGAGAUUAAAGCCCUCAAAACAUUUCGACUUUAUUCUCGUAAUAUUUUGACUUAAUUCUCAAAAUAUUACGAGAAUAAAGUCGAAAUGUUUCGAGAAUGAAGUUUCAAUAUUUUGUGAGUAAAGUCGAAAUAUUUUGUGACUAAAGUCAAAAUAUAACGAGAAAAAAGUCGUAAUAUUUCAUGAAUAAAGUCGUAAUAUUUUGUGAAUAACACUGAAGUAUUACGAGAAUAAAGUCGUAAUAUUUCUUGAAUAAAGUCAAAAUAUUAUGAGAUUAAAGUUGAAAUAUUACGAGAAUACAUUUUCACAUAUAGAAUGUACAUUUCACACAUAAAGGAAACUUGACUUGUUUCACAUAAACAGAGCGAUCUGAUCAUGAAAGAGCUUGAAAAACAUUAUUGUAAGACAUAAUUUGUGUUUCGCUAUAACACUGAUUUUGAAAAGCUGAGACCAUUUCUAUAAAGGAAGCUUGUUAAAUGUACAGAAACCCCUUUUUGGAUUGGUUUUAUUAUGAUGCUUUGAAUGUGAAGUCAAUAUGAAAUCUAAAUCAACCCUGUUUAUGUUCUUCUGCUUCAGUGCUCCUGGUUUUAUUGUGUAUUAUUGAUUCAUCAGUUGAUUCAGUCUGUCAAUCAAUCCCCUCUGAUUUUACAGUCGAUUCCUGAUGGAGAAAUCCAGUCCUGCUCUCUUGUGGUUUGUUAUUUAAUGAACAUACUGGACGUGUGUCACAUUAAAUAUGUCGAACGGGUCAUAAAGCUGUUUUAUGUUGAUCUUUGUGUUUCAGAAGCUGGUUCUCAGGGUUUGUCCUGCAUCACCGGAACGCCUCCUAAACAGGAAACGGCUGUGAGUUACGCGAAACCCAUAAAGAAAGGUAAUCUGAGCCCCAGAAAUGCUUUAUGAUGAUUCAUAUGAUUUGUUUGGUGCUGAAUGUAUUUGUUUGUGGCGGUUUCUCACAGAAUCAUUUCCUGGUCCUGCUCCACCAGCGACGUCUGUCAGAACAACACAGGUCUGAAACAAACAACCAAACACCUCCGGCUCAUAUAUUCUUCUGUGCUAACGUCUGCUGUGUGUUUGUGUGUCCUCUUACAGCGGCAAACUUCCACACCAGGCGGUGUCCAGAUCACCAUGUCAAAUGUCUGUGGAGUUCAGAUCGGCAACAACAACAUCAUGAAUAUUGUUCAGAAACCGGGCCAGAGACACUGAACGGCUCCUUCCAGAGUUGGCUCGUCUUAUUCCCGUUCAGAGAACUCCCCGAAAAAACCCCAGUGACCUCUUCACACUCUCUUAUGCAGGAAUCAGCUCUUGUUCAGUGUUAUAAGUUGCAAACUAUACCUGUGUGCCAAAGGGAAACAGACUUUCAGUGGAGUUGGACACUCAAAAAAUAUCCAUGCCAAUUUGAUGUGUUUGAAUUGCUUAUAAAAUGUCCAUCCAUUUGGAUUACACAGUUUUAACAUUAACUUAUACAUUUAAUGUAAUGCAUGUUUUUUUCAGUCAUACAUUAACAAAGCAGGUCAAAUUAAUAAUAAUGUUUUUGUUACUUGAAAUAAACAUUAUAUAUAUAUAUAUAUAUAUAUAUAUAUAUAUAUAUUAUAGCUUAAACAUUGAGUAAAAAAUAAUUAAAAUACAUAUAAAAAUGUAAAUGUAAAUUAUUCUAGUUCUCAAUUCCAUUUAGUAUAACCUGAUGUAGUUAACACUAAAACUGAGACAUAUAAAUUAGUGACCAAUUCUCAAGACCGCAGACUGAGGAUAACUUCACAACGACUAAUGCACACUCUCUCUCCUCCUCUCGACUCUCAGAGACUGACGUUUCCAAACUUUCCAAACUAACUAUCCUUUCCAAUCAUCAGAAUAACCUCCUGGACAGCAACCAAUCUGGCUUCAAAUGUGGCCAUGCUCUCAGUUACUGAACCCCUACGACUGGCAAGAACAGCUUCAAAAUCCUCAGUACUCAUCUUACUGGACCUGCCCUUACGAAAAAUAACCAUGGUUUUAUUAUAGUAAAACUGUAGUAACCCAUGGUUUUUUGGCGUAUUGACUGCCAUUUGUAAAACCACAGAUUUACUACAAAUACCAUGGUAAAACUAUGGUUAAUAUAGCAAAACCAUGGUUAAUUUGUGGUUACCAUGGUUUAACUACAGUAACCAUGGUUUUUUGGUUUUAUUUGUAGUAAAACCAUGGUUAAUUUUCGUAAGGGUGUCUGCUGCUUUUGACAACGCUAAUCACCAGAUUCUCCUGUCCACCCUCAGAAAGAUGGGCAUCUCUGGAACCACACUCCUGUGGUUUAAGUGCUACCUCUCCGAUAGAUCCUUCAGUGUGUCUUGGAGGGGUGAAGUUUCUAAGUCACAACUACUUGGUACUGGGGUUCCUCAAGGCUCAGUACUUGGACCACUUCUCUUCUCCAUCUACAUGGCAUAAUUAGGAUAUGUCAUUCAGAAGCAUGGCUUUGCCUAUAACUGCUACGCUGAAGACACUUAACUCUACUUCUCAUUCCAACCAGAUGACCCGACGGUAGUUGUUCACAUAGAGUGACAUUUCUAGCUGGAUGAAUGACCAUCACCUUCAGCUCAAGCUUACUAAGACAGAAGUGCGGGCGGUUCCAGCUAACCCAUCGUUUCAUCACAACUUCUCUAUACAGCUGGGUUCAUCAACCAUAACUCCCUCCAGGACAGACAUAAACCUAGGAGUUGUGAUGGAUCAUCAGUUAAGCAGUUAAGCCAAUUAGAAUCUCCCUUGACUUCAGUGAGCCAGACGAACAGGGUAACCACAUCAAACAUUAAACAACGAUCUCACAAACACAAGAUGUGAGACAAGCCAUUAUAUAGUGGAUGAGUAAUGAGUGGCAGCUGUUGCUGAUACAAUUAACGGAGACGCCCACAACUUAUCAGUGCAGAGGCGGGACACACAGAAUUCACCACAAAGUGUAAACAUCUCGAGAUCAUGGUUUACAAAAAUCGGUCAUAUGAAACCUGAUGGUAAAACAAGUAGUAUAUUUGAUGAUAAUGAUGUUUGUAACUAUUGUCAUGAACAGGGUCAUUGGAAGGUGGAUUGUGCUGUAUUAAAGGCUAAAACAAAGGGAAUGAAAACUAAUAUUAGACCUAUAACAUUUGCUGCAAAUGUAAAAACUGACUUGGUUUAUGAGGUAUGUUCACCACUCAUUUGUGAAGUGGAUGUUUUGGCAGCUUAUUCUCCUUUCAUUCGAGAUGGGUCUGUAUCACUGGUAGGCAGUGAUGUGAAAAUCCCAUUAAAGAUCUUGAGGGAUACGGGGGCUUAUAACUACUACACUGUGAGCUCUGCGUUGCCUUUUUCAGGGGACACAGAUACUGG
Long non-coding RNA from Carassius auratus (goldfish), 3406 nucleotides. The record is from Ensembl. Lineage: Eukaryota; Metazoa; Chordata; Actinopteri; Cypriniformes; Cyprinidae.